UACGAAGGGGGCUAGCGUUGCUCGGAAUCACUGGGCGUAAAGCGCACGUAGGCGGCUUUUUAAGUCAGGGGUGAAAUCCUGGAGCUCAACUCCAGAACUGCCUUUGAUACUGAGAAGCUUGAGUCCGGGAGAGGUGAGUGGAACUGCGAGUGUAGAGGUGAAAUUCGUAGAUAUUCGCAAGAACACCAGUGGCGAAGGCGGCUGACUGGUCCGGUUCUGACGCUGAGGCGCGAAAGCGUGGGGAGCAAACAGG
Molecule: ribosomal RNA, 253 nt
Filed under: uncultured bacterium
Lineage: Bacteria
Description: partial 16S ribosomal RNA
Rfam family: Bacterial small subunit ribosomal RNA
Source: RNAcentral